Transfer RNA from Termitomyces sp. J132, 83 nucleotides. It matches the Rfam family "tRNA". Rfam says of the family: Transfer RNA (tRNA) molecules are approximately 80 nucleotides in length. Their secondary structure includes four short double-helical elements and three loops (D, anti-codon, and T loops). The record is from Rfam. Lineage: Eukaryota; Fungi; Basidiomycota; Agaricomycetes; Agaricales; Lyophyllaceae.
GGGGGUAUAGCUCAGCUGGGAGAGCAGCAGACUGAAGAAUGUUUGGUUUCUGAAGGUCCCGCGUUCGAUCCGCGGUACCCCCA